AUCAGUAGCUCAGGUGGUUAGAGCAGCGGAAUCAUAAUCCGCGUGUCGGGGGUUCAAGUCCCUCCUCCGCUACCA
RNAcentral lists this transfer RNA (75 nucleotides) under Rhizobiales bacterium TMED29. RNAcentral's name for it is "tRNA-Met". The stretch from base 4 to 66 matches the Rfam family "tRNA", at positions 6 to 65 of the family's 71-position model. From Rfam's summary of the family: Transfer RNA (tRNA) molecules are approximately 80 nucleotides in length. Their secondary structure includes four short double-helical elements and three loops (D, anti-codon, and T loops). Further hydrogen bonds mediate the characteristic L-shaped molecular structure. tRNAs have two regions of fundamental functional importance: the anti-codon, which is responsible for specific mRNA codon recognition, and the 3' end, to which the tRNAs corresponding amino acid is attached (by aminoacyl-tRNA synthetases). tRNAs cope with the degeneracy of the genetic code in two manners: having more than one tRNA (with a specific anti-codon) for a particular amino acid; and 'wobble' base-pairing, i.e. permitting non-standard base-pairing at the 3rd anti-codon position. Lineage: Bacteria; Pseudomonadati; Pseudomonadota; Alphaproteobacteria; Hyphomicrobiales. The record is from RNAcentral.